Molecule: long non-coding RNA, 3115 nt
Filed under: Solanum tuberosum (potato)
Lineage: Eukaryota; Viridiplantae; Streptophyta; Magnoliopsida; Solanales; Solanaceae
Description: long non-coding RNA (STUB_LNC008595)
Source: RNAcentral
CAAUCCUUGUACCACGUUUGGAGGACAACAAUAUUGUUGCACCCAAGGUCCAUGUGGUCCUACAGAGUUGUCCAAAUUUUUCAAGAAAAGAUGCCCCGAUGCUUAUAGCUACCCACAAGAUGAUCCUACUAGCACAUUUACUUGUCCUGGAGGUAGUACAAACUAUAAGGUUGUCUUUUGUCCCAAUGGCGUUGCUGAUCCAAAUUUCCCCUUGGAGAUGCCUGCAAGUACUGAUGAAGUGGCCAAGUAAAUUUGAGUCUCUUUCUUUAAAAUUACUUCAAGUGGUCGAGUGAUCUCUGGUGUAAUGAAAAAUCUUAAUAGCCCAGUUGGUUAACUAUUUAAACUUUUACUUUAUUAGUGAGAGUUUGUAAUAGACUUAAGACCUAAAUAAGAGUUACAUCCCACGUGUACUUUACUUGUUGAAGUAUAAAUCAACAGUGCAUUUGAAUUAUCGUUCUUUUUAAAAAAAUAAAAAAUAACUUUUAGUAAAGUGUUAAGACUUAGACCAAAAAACAAACAAAAAAGUAUUGAUAAUGUCCUAGCUGAACUAUGAAAAGGUGAAAUUUUAUCUUUUAAAUUUUGGUUAAUUGAAUUUAUUGCCCUGAGAAUCAUUUCGCGCUGUUAUGUAUAUGAGCCUCUUUAAAUCGGACUUAUUAUUAGUAAUUCACUACCAGAAAUCAGACUUUUUUGGUCACUAGGAGCAUAGUAAAUCGCCACUGAAUAUUUUUAGUGGCGACCAUAAUGUCACUGCAAGUAACUCCAUAACUAAUGUGAAUUAAAUUUGCGACAAAAAUCGACGAUAAAAACCACCAAAUAGAAUUUAGGUAAAUCGCCAGUGCAAUUACGCCUUUACUCUGAUUUACUCACGACAUUUAAUUAGGUCGCUACAGAGUUAAGUUUCUAGCGAACACUUAAACUAUCAUUUUUUUAAAAUUCUAUAUUUAAAUUAUUGAGAGUGUAAGAAACACCCCUAAACUAUAUCACUCAUAAGUUUGAACAAAACACCUCAAGUAAUAUGUGAUAGUGUUUGUAUUACACUCUCUUUUUUAAAAAUAAUAUAAUUGUCACGUGAAAAAAAUGUCACAAUGGCAAAAAGUUCAAAAUUAAAAGAGUGAAGUGUCAAAAAUGGGUCCUGCAGUGCCCAAUCCAAAUUUAAUCGGGAAUUUAAUGUAGGCUCCGAACACCGGGUGAAAAAUAAAAAAAAUGAACAAUGAAAUUGAGAAGCUAUCAUGGUAUUAGUUGGAGAGAGAAUGAGGAAAUUUAUCAUUUUAUCCCUUUUCCAAGAUGGGAAAUUGAAGAUUUGUGAAGUGAAUUAAUGCUUAGGGGAAAGUGUAGAUUUACUAAUUGAAGAUUUUAGAUGCAAUCAAUUGGAAUAACUUUCAUUAUUUUAUUGAUUAUGAUCCGAAAAUUUAGCCUCCAAAUAAUCGACAAAAUAAAUAAUACGGGUGAAACUUGAACACGAAAUAGAAAAUGACAUAGAUAACUAGUCUCUCCGUUUUAUAUUAGUUGAUCUUUAUACUAAAUAUAAUUGUCUCAUUUUAGUUUAUCACUUUACUAAAUCAAGUAAAGAUAAUUAUUUUUUUCUAUAUUACCCUAGCAAUUAAUUUUUUUUGAAAGUGUUUAUAUUUGUUUGUAAAAUUUUCAAGAAGUUUUUUAAGAGGUGAAUUAAUAAAAUUAUCUUCUUAUUUAUGAUUUCUUAAACACUACGCAAAAUAAAAAAUGAUCAACUAAUAUGAAACGAAAAAAAUAUGAAAGAAAUUUUGUCCAUGAAAGAAAAAUAAUGGUUACUUCUUUCAAUUAAGUUUUAAGAAAAAGUCUUGUCACGUUAUACCAAAUAAAUUUGUCUUCUAUGUUAUCCAUAUGGAUUGCAGUCAAAAUAGAUGAAAUUUCUCUAUUCUUAAUCAAUGUGAAUUUGAAUCUUUAGAAAUGAAAAAAUCUUAUUAAGAGCACUAUUAAUUUGUAAAUUUAUAUUUAAAUAGGAUAACAAACACCGAACACUGGAUAAGAAAUCGAAUAAAAAUAAUAGUUUGACUUUUAUUUUCAUAUAAAGUAAUGGAGUAAUUAGUAGGCGGCUCUUAUAUGUUGAGCCACCUCAACCUUUACUUAAACAUAUUUCAAAAUUAUUCGUUGAUUAGUCCAGUGUGAUAUUGAUAUUUGUGAUUAAAAUCCAUAGUUUCAAAAGCCGCCACACCCCUAUAUAAACUGCCCAACGAUUUGUCAAUAUAUCCAACAACUUAGAUUAAAAAAUAUAGUUCCACAAACAUGGCCUACUUGAGAUCUUCUUUUGUUUUCUUCCUCCUUGCUUUUGUGACUUACACUUAUGCUGCCACUAUCGAGGUACGCAAUAACUGUCCAUACACCGUGUGGGCGGCAUCGACCCCGAUAGGCGGUGGCCGACGUCUCGAUCGAGGCCAGACAUGGGUUAUCAAUGCGCCGAGGGGCACUAAGAUGGCACGUAUAUGGGGUCGUACUAAUUGCAACUUUGAUGGUGCUGGUAGAGGUUCAUGCCAGACUGGUGAUUGUGGUGGGGUCUUGCAGUGUACCGGGUGGGGCAAACCACCAAACACCCUGGCUGAAUACGCCUUGGACCAGUUCAGCAACCUAGAUUUCUGGGACAUUUCUUUAGUCGAUGGAUUUAAUAUUCCGAUGACUUUUGCCCCAACCAAUCCUAGUGGAGGGAAAUGCCACGCAAUUCAUUGCACGGCUAAUAUAAAUGGUGAAUGUCCUGGUUCACUUAGGGUACCUGGAGGAUGUAACAAUCCUUGUACCACGUUCGGAGGACAACAAUAUUGUUGCACCCAAGGUCCAUGUGGUCCUACUGAUUUGUCUAGAUUUUUCAAACAAAGAUGCCCUGAUGCCUAUAGCUACCCACAAGAUGAUCCUACUAGCACAUUUACUUGCCCUAGUGGUAGUACAAAUUAUAGGGUUGUCUUUUGUCCUAAUGGUGUUACUAGCCCAAAUUUCCCCUUGGAGAUGCCUUCAAGUGAUGAAGAGGCUAAGUAAAAUUGAGUCUCUUUCUUUUAAAUUGCUUGAAGUGGUCAAGUUAUAUUGGCUUGUAAUAAACCUAUUAUAUAAAACAUGAAUAAGAGUCACAUCAUCACAAAUCUGUUGUGUC